CCUACGGGUGGCAGCAGUGGGGAAUAUUGCACAAUGGGGGAAACCCUGAUGCAGCGACGCCGCGUGAGUGAAGAAGUAUUUCGGUAUGUAAAGCUCUAUCAGCAGGGAAGAAAAUGACGGUACCUGAUUAAGAAGCCCCGGCUCACUACGUGCCAGCAGCCGCGGUAAUACGUAGGCGGCAAGCGUUAUACGGAUUUACUGGGUGUAAAGGGGGCGUAGACGGCAGCACAAGGCUGGAGUGAAAUGCCGGGGCUGAACCCCGGAACUGCUUUGGAAACUGUGGAGCUAGAGUGCGGGAGAGGUAAGUGGAAUGCCUAGUGUAGCGGUGAAAUGCGUAGAUAUUAGGAGGAACACCAGUGGCGAAGGCGGCUUACUGGACUGUAACUGACGUUGAGGCUCGAAAGCGUGGGGAGCAAACAGGAUUAGAUACCCGAGUAGUC
Molecule: ribosomal RNA, 440 nt
Filed under: uncultured bacterium
Lineage: Bacteria
Description: partial 16S ribosomal RNA
Rfam family: Bacterial small subunit ribosomal RNA
Source: RNAcentral